UAUGUUUGACAGUGGAAGGAUUUACGUGAUUGCUUGCUUGUUGUGGCACUUAUGGAAGGCUGAAUUUUCCCGGUGGCGGUCGAAACGCCAGCCGGAAUUGAGCUGCCAAGACGCACUGAAUCGAACCGCACCCCGCGGUGGAAACGAGGGGGGAUAAAACAAAAAAAAGCGAAAUUCCGUAGCAUUGGCCUAUCCGACGCAGUUCGACCAUUUCACGUGCUGUAAUAGCUAGCUACUAGCUACCACCAAGCUACCACCAAGACAUCCUCCUGGCUCGCAGACAUCUUUUGCACCAAACAAAAAACGACCUGCAGUGCAAGAAAAUUAGGCUGGCCUAAGAGAUGAGGCCGGUUCCUGCAUCCCUUGCUGGCUUGAGCCUGCUCCGCCGCUGGGAGAUGACCAUCCCCAUCUUGCUGAAGACCCUCUCGGAUGGAACAGAUGUUGCCAAAACGCACAACCUUGCCAGCAUGAGCUGCGUCAACCGUGGGUAAACCAACUGACGGCUCUUCCACCAGGCCAGCGGGUUGGAUGAGCGAGGCAUCAUGGGCUCCUCAAGACACUGCUCUCCUUGACUGAGGCCCCUGCUGCUGCUUC
Gadus chalcogrammus (walleye pollock) is the source of this 594-nucleotide long non-coding RNA. RefSeq lists it as uncharacterized. The transcript is spliced from 4 exons. The record is from RefSeq and is a predicted model, not a curated record. Lineage: Eukaryota; Metazoa; Chordata; Actinopteri; Gadiformes; Gadidae.